CAGCAGCCGCGGGAACACGUAGGGUGCGAGCGUUAAUCGGAAUUACUGGGCGUGAAGCGAGCGCAGACGGUUAUUUAAGCAGGAUGUGAAAUCCCCGGGCUUAACCUGGGAACUGCGUUCUGAACUGGAUAGCUAGAGUGUGUCAGAGGGGGGUAGAAUUCCACGUGUAGCAGUGAAAUGCGUAGAGAUGUGGAGGAAUACCGAUGGCGAAGGCAGCCCCCUGGGAUAACACUGACGUUCAUGCUCGAAAGCGUGGGUAGCAAACAGGAUUAGAUACCCCAGUAGUCCCUGUCUCUUAUAC
This 301-nucleotide ribosomal RNA is filed under the name uncultured bacterium. RNAcentral's name for it is "partial 16S ribosomal RNA". It matches the Rfam family "Bacterial small subunit ribosomal RNA", at positions 509 to 807 of the family's 1533-position model. The record is from RNAcentral.